This 90-nucleotide transfer RNA is filed under the name Rhodovulum sulfidophilum. RNAcentral describes it as "tRNA-Ser". It matches the Rfam family "tRNA". From Rfam's summary of the family: Transfer RNA (tRNA) molecules are approximately 80 nucleotides in length. Their secondary structure includes four short double-helical elements and three loops (D, anti-codon, and T loops). Further hydrogen bonds mediate the characteristic L-shaped molecular structure. tRNAs have two regions of fundamental functional importance: the anti-codon, which is responsible for specific mRNA codon recognition, and the 3' end, to which the tRNAs corresponding amino acid is attached (by aminoacyl-tRNA synthetases). tRNAs cope with the degeneracy of the genetic code in two manners: having more than one tRNA (with a specific anti-codon) for a particular amino acid; and 'wobble' base-pairing, i.e. permitting non-standard base-pairing at the 3rd anti-codon position. The record is from RNAcentral. Lineage: Bacteria; Pseudomonadati; Pseudomonadota; Alphaproteobacteria; Rhodobacterales; Paracoccaceae.
GGAGACGUGGCCGAGUGGUCGAAGGCGCUCCCCUGCUAAGGGAGUAGGCCCGGAAGGGCCUCGUGGGUUCGAAUCCCAUCGUCUCCGCCA